RNAcentral lists this ribosomal RNA (407 nucleotides) under uncultured prokaryote. RNAcentral's name for it is "bacterial SSU rRNA". It matches the Rfam family "Bacterial small subunit ribosomal RNA", at positions 355 to 776 of the family's 1533-position model. The record is from RNAcentral. RNAcentral also lists the same sequence under 1 other name.
UGGGGGAUAUUGCACAAUGGAGGAAACUCUGAUGCAGCAACGCCGCGUGAGGGAAGAAGGUCUUCGGAUUGUAAACCUCUGUCUUUAGGGACGAAGAAAGUGACGGUACCUAAAGAGGAAGCCACGGCUAACUACGUGCCAGCAGCCGCGGUAAUACGUAGGUGGCGAGCGUUGUCCGGAUUUACUGGGUGUAAAGGGUGCGUAGGCGGGUUAUCAAGUUGGGUGUGAAACCUCCGUGCUUAACACGGAGCCUGCAUUCAAAACUGGUAAUCUUGAGUGAGGUAGAGGUAGAUGGAAUUCCCGGUGUAGCGGUGAAAUGCGUAGAGAUCGGGAGGAACACCAGUGGCGAAGGCGGUCUACUGGGCCUUAACUGACGCUGAGGCACGAAAGCAUGGGUAGCAAACAGG